This 448-nucleotide ribosomal RNA is filed under the name Hanseniaspora guilliermondii. RNAcentral's name for it is "partial large subunit ribosomal RNA". It matches the Rfam family "Eukaryotic large subunit ribosomal RNA", at positions 188 to 648 of the family's 3401-position model. Lineage: Eukaryota; Fungi; Ascomycota; Saccharomycetes; Saccharomycodales; Saccharomycodaceae. The record is from RNAcentral.
CCUUGGGAAACAGGACGUCAUAGAGGGUGAGAAUCCCGUUUGGCGAGGAUACCUUUUCUCUGUAAGACUUUUUCGAAGAGUCGAGUUGUUUGGGAAUGCAGCUCAAAGUGGGUGGUAAAUUCCAUCUAAAGCUAAAUAUUGGCGAGAGACCGAUAGCGAACAAGUACAGUGAUGGAAAGAUGAAAAGAACUUUGAAAAGAGAGUGAAAAAGUACGUGAAAUUGUUGAAAGGGAAGGGCAUUUGAUCAGACAUGGUGUUUUUUGCAUGCACUCGCCUCUCGUGGGCUUGGGCCUCUCAAAAAUUUCACUGGGCCAACAUCAGUUCUGGCAGCAGGAUAAAUCAUUAAGAAUGUAGCUACCUCGGUAGUGUUAUAGCUUAUUGGAAUACUGCUAGCUGGGAUUGAGGACUGCGCUUCGGCAAGGAUGUUGGCAUAAUGGUUAAAUGCCGC